AACGAACGCUGGCGGCAUGCCUAACACAUGCAAGUCGAACGGGACCUUCGGGUCUAGUGGCGCACGGGUGCGUAACGCGUGGGAACCUGCCCUUAGGUUCGGAAUAACUCCCCGAAAGGGGUGCUAAUACCGGAUAAUGUCUUCGGACCAAAGAUUUAUCGCCUUUGGAUGGGCCCGCGUUGGAUUAGCUAGUUGGUAGGGUAAAAGCCUGCCAAGGCGACGAUCCAUAGCUGGUCUGAGAGGAUGAUCAGCCACACUGGGACUGAGACACGGCCCAGACCCCUACGGGAGGCAGCAGUGGGGAAUAUUGGACAAUGGGCGAAAGCCUGAUCCAGCAAUGCCGCGUGAGUGAUGAAGGCCUUAGGGUUGUAAAGCUCUUUUACCCGGGAUGAUAAUGACAGUACCGGGAGAAUAAGCUCCGGCUAACUCCGUG
RNAcentral lists this ribosomal RNA (433 nucleotides) under uncultured bacterium. RNAcentral's name for it is "partial 16S ribosomal RNA". It matches the Rfam family "Bacterial small subunit ribosomal RNA", at positions 29 to 507 of the family's 1533-position model. The record is from RNAcentral.